This 447-nucleotide ribosomal RNA is filed under the name uncultured bacterium. RNAcentral describes it as "SSU rRNA". It matches the Rfam family "Bacterial small subunit ribosomal RNA", at positions 26 to 518 of the family's 1533-position model. The record is from RNAcentral.
AGAGCGAACGCUGGCGGCAGGCCUAACACAUGCAAGUCGAGCGCCCGUAGCAAUACGGGAGCGGCAGACGGGAGAGUAACACGUGGGAACGUACCCUUCAGUUCGGAAUAACCCAGGGAAACUUGGACUAAUACCGAAUACGUCCGUAAGGAGAAAGAUUUAUCGCUGAAGGAUCGGCCCGCGUCUGAUUAGCUUGUUGGUGAGGUAACGGCUCACCAAGGCGACGAUCAGUAGCUGGUCUGAGAGGAUGAUCAGCCUCACUGGGACUGAGACACGGCCCAGACUCCUACGGGAGGCAGCAGUGGGGAAUAUUGGACAAUGGGCGCAAGCCUGAUCCAGCCAUGCCGCGUGGAUGAUGAAGGCCCUAGGUUGUAAAGUCCUUUCGGCGGGGAAGAUAAUGACGGUACCCGCAGAAGAACGCCCGGCUAACUUCGUGCCAGCAGCCGC